Molecule: long non-coding RNA, 407 nt
Filed under: Hordeum vulgare
Lineage: Eukaryota; Viridiplantae; Streptophyta; Magnoliopsida; Poales; Poaceae
Description: long non-coding RNA (HVUL_LNC013397)
Source: RNAcentral
AUACAUUCAUAUAUAGUUCAUUAGUGAAAUCUCUACAAAGACUUAUAUUUAGAAACGGUGGGAGUAGAUGACUUGACAUAUAUAGCUAAGCUAACGUGCUAAUGGAAAUGCCACGACGUACUCCCUUUGUUUUUAAAUAUAAUUUUUUUAAGAUUUCAAUAAAAAACUACAUAUAAGAGAAAUAAAUGAGUCUGUAUUUUAAAAUAUAUCUAUAUACAUUCAUAUUCAGUCUUUCUAAUAAAACUUUCUAAAAGAUUUAUAUUAAAAAACGGAUGAAGUAGUAGCCACUUACUUAUUUUGCUGUAAAUUUUGCAUAUUCGUUGUGAAGCAGUGCUAUGUCUAUGUCAAACAGUACAUUCUCUAUCACGGUGACCCAGAUCGAGGCGGACCAAAUCCAGCCACAUNNN